GAGCUUCAGCAGUCAUAUGCAUGAACCCUGCUCCAAGGAAAACACCAGCAGAAAUACAGCCCAGGAGUCUGAGGACUCGCCGGUGAUGACCUAAUAAAAAGCAGAAGUUAAACCCACUUGGCACUGAGGAGACAGACAAAGUCUUACAGGUUGCAAUGCUGAUACUUGAACCACUCGCUUUCAGAGGAGAUUUGGGGCCACCUGGAGGUAAAGAGGUGGGGCUGAGAGGUGGUGCUGGUGCUACUCUGUGGGAACUAGUACAUGAGGGAACUACCCUUUCCUGUAACCCCAGAAAAAUAGCUGCAGGCAUGGAAAUGUCUAGUGGUAAGUUGAUUUGUCUUUUUUCUUUCUCUUUUGAUUGGGACCAGUGUUGAGAGGAAUGAGUUGAGAUUUCUGGUAUGACAUUUAUACUGUUACAACUUCUGACUGUGCCUGUUUCCUGGUAAGAACUGGAAAAAAAGACAUUUAAGUUUUAAGACAACAAGCUGCUGUAGCCCUGAAACAGCAAGGCCUAGGGGAAAACAGAAAUUAACUGAAUAAACGGGAGGAUUCUACCUGGAUAUAGAGGGGUGGGGGUAGAAGAUUCAGUUCUGAUGGGAAUCACUCUUGAUGGAAAUGUAUGGGGCAUUUCCCACACAUACUCUAGGGUAGCUGAGGGACCCUGGGAAAGACAGAAGGGAAGGCGGUAGUGAAAGAGGCCAGGCAGCUGCUGAUUCCUCUAUUCAGGUGGCCCACAUAACAACCCUGAGACCUGCUGAGCCAGUUCUCAGAGCUCUGGAGGCAGCUUUCCUAGCUACUCCAGAUUAUCUUCCUAGGGAAGUCCUGGCCUCUGGUAGAAGCAGUAUUCUUGUAGUGUUACUGGAUGAUUUUUACAGUGUUACUGGUCCCGCUGCUUGUUCUUGUGAUCCAAUAAUGAGAUACGGACAGACUGGGAAAGAAGGGAGUUUAUUUCUGCAACUGAUUACAGGGAGGUCGGAGUAGCACACCAGACUAACUCAAAGUUACAAGUUUUUCUUUAGCUUUUACAUACAAUUCAAGCUCUGUGACUACCUGUGGGAAUGUUUCCUAAUUAAUCUAAACUAGGGGUCUGCAGAUAAAAGUUUUUGUUUUUGUUUUUUUUUUAGAAACAAAGCAAUAAAUGAUUUGAUUUAGAAAUAAAACCAUUCUCAUUAUUGCAGCAUUAUCAUCAGUCAUUGAAUGCUAAAGCUGUUUAUGCUUCUUUUUCCCUGGGAUGUCUGAACCUGGCAACUUUUCUUCCUAUUCUUCUAUGUUCUUAGCAAACCCACAUCAAGGGUGUCUGUUCGCGUUUGAAAUUCAUCAGCAUCAGAAAGAGCAAACAUGUUGGCAGUAUCUAGAAAACCAUCAACAUGAGCAUGGGGCAGUUCAUUUCGCUUUGCAGCUGAUCCCACCAUAAUGUUUGCUUCCUGCUGCAAUAUCCCCAGGUACCUACCCAGCGGAAGGGGAUGGGAUGGUACGCCUGUGAGAAGCUACAGGCCAGUGGCCUAGAGGUUGUCAACUGGGGACAAGGGAGUUCAUGGGGA
Long non-coding RNA from Cercocebus atys (sooty mangabey), 1541 nucleotides. RefSeq lists it as uncharacterized. NCBI's taxonomy places the organism in Eukaryota, Metazoa, Chordata, Mammalia, Primates, Cercopithecidae. The record is from RefSeq and is a predicted model, not a curated record. The transcript has 3 exons.